UGCAGUCGAGCGACAGACGAAAAGCUUGCUUCUCUGAGGCUAGCGGCGGACGGGUGAGUAACGUCUGGGAAACCGACCGAUAAGACUGGGAAAACUCCGGGAAACCGGGGUUAUUACCGGAUAAUAUUUUGAACCGCAUGGGUCGAUCUUGAGGCAUCGUGUCGGCUGAUGCUUCUAGAUGGACCCGCGCCGUAUUAGCUAUAUGGGCUCGUCUCGGCUUACAUCCGCGACUAUACUUAGACGACCUGAGAGGGUGAUCGGCUGACUGGAACUGAGACUCCUACGGACUCCUACGGGAGGCAAUAUUGCGGAAUCUUCCGCAAUGGGCGAAAGCCUGACGGAGCAACGCCGCGUGACUGAUGAAGGUCUUCGGAUCUCAAAACUCUGUUGUUAGGGAAGAACAAAUUUGUUAAUCGAUGAACAAGUCUUGACGGUACCUAACCAGCUAGCCCCGGCUAACUACGUGCCAGCAGCCGCGGUAAUACGUAGGUGGCAAGAAUUUAUCCGGAAUUAUUGGGCGUAAAGCGGCGCUGUACGCGGUUUCUGUAAGUCUCGAUCGUGACUCCCCUCGGCUCUGCCGUUGCGAGGGUCAUUGGAUACUAGUCAUGCUUGAGGUGCAGUAAGAAUGACAGUGUGAAUUCGCAUGAAAUAGCCGUAUGAGAUCGCGGCAGGAGAUACUCGGAGGGAAGCACCGCGUGCCCCCAAUGG
Molecule: ribosomal RNA, 708 nt
Filed under: Mammaliicoccus sciuri
Lineage: Bacteria; Bacillati; Bacillota; Bacilli; Caryophanales; Staphylococcaceae
Description: bacterial SSU rRNA
Rfam family: Bacterial small subunit ribosomal RNA
Source: RNAcentral